AACGGUCUAUACCUGCGGUACCUGCGGAGGGAUCAUUACACAAUAAUAUAUGAAGGCUGCUCGCGGCUGGAGUAUUUAUUACCCUUGUCUUUUGCGCACUUGUUGUUUCCUGGGCGGGCUCGCCCGCCACCAGGACCACAUACAAACCUUUUUUAUGUAGUUGCAAUCAGCGUCAGUAUAACAAAUGUAAAUCAUUUACAACUUUUAACAACGGAUCUCU
RNAcentral lists this unclassified non-coding RNA (220 nucleotides) under soil metagenome. RNAcentral's name for it is "partial contains 5.8S ribosomal RNA, internal transcribed spacer 2, and large subunit ribosomal RNA". The record is from RNAcentral.